UCCAUAGUCUAUAAAGCAUAUUGUUUGGCAUGUAAGAGCAACUAUAUAGACUCCUAUAUUUUCUUGAACUUGGAUUCAGUUAUUUAGAAUAUAUAAAUGUAUUUUUUGUCCUCUGGUUGAGUUUUGCAGAUUGAUCUAGACUUACUGAUCUGUCACAAAACCUAGGAUUGGAAACACAAUGCUUCUACCAAAUCCGAGCUUCCUUCCCCUGCCUAUGCAUUCUUUCACUCUUAAUUGAUGUGGUUAUCAGAGUAGUGAUGUUCUAUGGGGGGAACGGGCUACUUCUUUUGACGGUGAAAGUGUGCUCAAAUGUGCUGAAAAGGGGACCUGUUGUAGCCAUCUUUGUUGGCACUUUGGUUAAACUGUUAGAAGAAUGUAAAGGCAGGAGUGGGAUCACAUUCUAGACUCCAGACAGUGUACCAAUUAGCCUCAGGUGUGUAAA
Molecule: long non-coding RNA, 442 nt
Organism: Lolium rigidum
Lineage: Eukaryota; Viridiplantae; Streptophyta; Magnoliopsida; Poales; Poaceae
Exons: 3
Source: RefSeq, a predicted model, not a curated record